RNAcentral lists this unclassified non-coding RNA (245 nucleotides) under Hevea brasiliensis (rubber tree). The record is from RNAcentral. Lineage: Eukaryota; Viridiplantae; Streptophyta; Magnoliopsida; Malpighiales; Euphorbiaceae.
AAAGUUACAGUAAUGGUGAUUAAGGUCGAUCUUGGCUGCGAGAAGUGCUUCAAGAAAAUCAAGAAAGUGCUCUGUAAAAUUCCUCAAAUUCAAAAUCAGGUAUAUGAUGAGAAGGCAAACACAGUGACAAUCACUGUGGUGUGCUGCAGCCCAGAAAAGAUCAAGAAAAAGAUAUGUUGCAAAGGUGGUGACUCAGUCAAGGGUAUUGAAAUCAAAGUUCCAGAGAAACCUAAACCACCAGAGAA